Caenorhabditis elegans is the source of this 122-nucleotide non-coding RNA. Lineage: Eukaryota; Metazoa; Nematoda; Chromadorea; Rhabditida; Rhabditidae. The record is from Ensembl.
UCCCGCACAUUAUGUAACUGCAGGCGUCCCUAUUUGGGUGGCUCUCGGACAUCAAAUAUUGUGCGUGUGUCCACCCUUGAUGUCCAGUUGGUAUCAUGCACGCAAAAAAAAGAAACAUAGCU